UACGUAGGGGGCAAGCGUUGUCCGGAUUUAUUGGGCGUAAAGAGCGUGUAGGCGGCCAGAUAGGUCUGUUGUGAAAACUCGAGGCUCAACCUCGAGACGCCGAUGGAAACCAUCUGGCUAGAGUCCGGAAGAGGAGAGUGGAAUUCCUGGUGUAGCGGUGAAAUGCGCAGAUAUCAGGAAGAACACCCAUGGCGAAGGCGGCUCUCUAGUACGGUACUGACGCUGAGGCGCGAAAGCGUGGGGAGCGAACAGG
Molecule: ribosomal RNA, 253 nt
Filed under: uncultured bacterium
Lineage: Bacteria
Description: partial 16S ribosomal RNA
Rfam family: Bacterial small subunit ribosomal RNA
Source: RNAcentral